UACGAGGGGAGCAAGCGUUGUUCGGAAUCAUUGGGCGUAAAGGGCGCGUAGGCGGCCUGCACAAGUCCAGGGUGAAAGCCCUCGGCUCAACCGAGGAAGGGCCUUGGAAACUGUGCGGCUUGAGUAUUGGAGAGGAAGGCGGAAUUCCCAGUGUAGCGGUGAAAUGCGUAGAUAUUGGGAGGAACACCUGUGGCGAAGGCGGCUUUCUGGACAAUCACUGACGCUGAGGCGCGAAAGCUAGGGGAGCAAACGGG
RNAcentral lists this ribosomal RNA (254 nucleotides) under uncultured bacterium. Its description in RNAcentral is "partial 16S ribosomal RNA". It matches the Rfam family "Bacterial small subunit ribosomal RNA", at positions 524 to 776 of the family's 1533-position model. The record is from RNAcentral.